UACGUAGGCGGUUUCAUAAGUCAGAUGUAAAAGCGUGGGGCUCAACCCCAUAAAGCAUUUGAAACUGUGGAACUUGAGUAGUGGAGAGGAAAGUGGAAUUCCUAGUGUAGCGGUGAAAUGCGUAGAUAUUAGGAGGAAUACCAGUGGCGAAGGCGACUUUCUUGGACACAAACUGACGCUGAGGUACGAAAGCAUGGGGAGGCAAAACA
RNAcentral lists this ribosomal RNA (209 nucleotides) under uncultured bacterium. RNAcentral describes it as "partial 16S ribosomal RNA". It matches the Rfam family "Bacterial small subunit ribosomal RNA", at positions 568 to 776 of the family's 1533-position model. The record is from RNAcentral.